This 2039-nucleotide ribosomal RNA is filed under the name Inocybe fuscescentipes. RNAcentral's name for it is "eukaryotic LSU rRNA". The stretch from base 653 to 2039 matches the Rfam family "Eukaryotic large subunit ribosomal RNA", at positions 1 to 1375 of the family's 3401-position model. The record is from RNAcentral. Lineage: Eukaryota; Fungi; Basidiomycota; Agaricomycetes; Agaricales; Inocybaceae.
GUAAAAGUCGUAACAAGGUUUCCGUAGGUGAACCUGCGGAAGGAUCAUUAUUGAAUAAACUUGAACAGGCUGUUGCUGGUCACCCUAGGGGGGCAUGUGCACGCUUGUCAUCUUUAUUUCUCCAACUGUGCACACACUGUAGACCUGGAGGGUUUUUGAUUCAUUCGAGUUGGCACUGCAGCGCUUAAAUUAACAAAGUCUGCUUUGCCUUUGCCUUUUCAGGUCUACGUCCUUUUACAAUCUCAAAUAUGUUUAGAAUGAUAAUAAAGUUUAAAUAUAACAACUUUCAGCAACGGAUCUCUUGGCUCUCGCAUCGAUGAAGAACGCAGCGAAAUGCGAUAAGUAAUGUGAAUUGCAGAAUUCAGUGAAUCAUCGAAUCUUUGAACGCAUCUUGCGCUCCUUGGUAUUCUGAGGAGCAUGCCUGUUUGAGUGUCAUUUCAAGUUCUCAACCGCAUCAAUUUCUUCUGAUUGGUGUGGCUUGGAUGUUGGGGGUUUUAUUUUGCAGGCUUCUUCUUUCUAGGAGGAAAUCGGCUCCCCUGAAAUAGAUUAGUAGUAUAUCUGAGCCUACUACAAAGGUGUGAUAAAUUAUCUAUGCCUUUUCAUAGUAUGGACGACUGCUUCUAACAAGUGGAAACACCUUUUAUGACAAAUUUGACCUCAAAUCAGGUAGGACUACCCGCUGAACUUAAGCAUAUCAAUAAGCGGAGGAAAAGAAACUAACAAGGAUUCCCCUAGUAACUGCGAGUGAAGCGGGAAAAGCUCAAAUUUGAAAUCUGGCAGCUUUUUGGCUGUCCGAGUUGUAAUCUAGAGAAGUGUUACCUGUGCUGAACCGUGUACAAGUCUCCUGGAAUGGAGCAUCAUAGAGGGUGAGAAUCCCGUCUUUGACAUGGACUAUCUGUACGUUAUGGUGCGCUCUCAAAGAGUCGAGUUGUUUGGGAAUGCAGCUCAAAAUGGGUGGUAAAUGCCAUCUAAAGCUAAAUAUUGGCGAGAGACCGAUAGCGAACAAGUACCGUGAGGGAAAGAUGAAAAGAACUUUGGAAAGAGAGUUAAACAGUACGUGAAAUUGCUGAAAGGGAAACGCUUGAAGUCAGUCGCGUUGACUAGAAAUCAGCCUUGCUCUUGCUUGGUGUACUUUCUUGUUGAUGGGUCAGCAUCAAUUUUGACCAUUGGAUAAAGUCUCUGGGAAUGUGGCAUCUUAGGAUGUGUUAUAGCCCAGGGUCGCAUACGGUGGUUGGGAUUGAGGAACUCAGCACGCCGCAAGGCCGGGUUUCGACCACGUUCGUGCUUAGGAUGCUGGCAUAAUGGCUUUAAUCGACCCGUCUUGAAACACGGACCAAGGAGUCUAACAUGCCUGCGAGUGUUUGGGUGGAAAAACCCAUGCGCGAAAUGAAAGUGAAAGUUGAGAUCCCCCUCGAAAGGGAGCAUUGACGCCCGGACCAGACCUUUUGUGACGGAUCCGCGGUAGAGCAUGUAUGUUGGGACCCGAAAGAUGGUGAACUAUGCCUGAAUAGGGUGAAGCCAGAGGAAACUCUGGUGGAGGCUCGUAGCGAUUCUGACGUGCAAAUCGAUCGUCAAAUUUGGGUAUAGGGGCGAAAGACUAAUCGAACCAUCUAGUAGCUGGUUCCUGCCGAAGUUUCCCUCAGGAUAGCAGAAACUCAUUGUCAGAUUUAUGUGGUAAAGCGAAUGAUUAGAGGCCUUGGGGUUGAAACAACCUUAACCUAUUCUCAAACUUUAAAUAUGUAAGAACGAGCCGUCUCUUGACUGGACCGCUCGACGAUUGAGAGUUUCUAGUGGGCCAUUUUUGGUAAGCAGAACUGGCGAUGCGGGAUGAACCGAACGCGAGGUUAAGGUGCCGGAAUUCACGCUCAUCAGACACCACAAAAGGUGUUAGUUCAUCUAGACAGCAGGACGGUGGCCAUGGAAGUCGGAAUCCGCUAAGGAGUGUGUAACAACUCACCUGCCGAAUGAACUAGCCCUGAAAAUGGAUGGCGCUUAAGCGUGAUACCCAUACCUCGCCGUCAGUGUUGAAGUGACGCACU